UACGGAGGGGGCGAGCGUUAUUCGGAAUCAUUGGGCGUAAAGUGCGCGUAGGCGGCCCGCUAAGUCAGGGGUGAAAUCCCUCGGCUCAACCGAGGAAUUGCCUCUGAAACUGGCAGGCUCGAGGCCGGGAGAGGGUGGUGGAAUUCCCAGUGUAGCGGUGAAAUGCGUAGAUACUGGGAGGAACACCAGUGGCGAAGGCGGCCACCUGGACCGGUUCUGACGCUGAGGCGCGACAGCGUGGGGAGCAAACAGG
RNAcentral lists this ribosomal RNA (253 nucleotides) under uncultured bacterium. Its description in RNAcentral is "partial 16S ribosomal RNA". It matches the Rfam family "Bacterial small subunit ribosomal RNA", at positions 524 to 776 of the family's 1533-position model. The record is from RNAcentral.